Molecule: unclassified non-coding RNA, 215 nt
Filed under: Hevea brasiliensis (rubber tree)
Lineage: Eukaryota; Viridiplantae; Streptophyta; Magnoliopsida; Malpighiales; Euphorbiaceae
Source: RNAcentral
GAGAUCUGGCCUCCGACAUGACAGCCUCUAAUUUAGCUUUGAAAAGGUCUAGAGCAGGGCCUUCCAUCUCCCCAAUAUGUAGAAGUUCAGAUGCCUGUAGAUUUGACUUCCCAAUCUUGUGCAAGCAGUAUCGAAUACUAGGUUCUAGCUCCUCUACACGUUCACGACACAAAACUUGAUUCUCUAGAUCUCCUACUUUCCCAAGUUCCUCAUAA